Molecule: transfer RNA, 67 nt
Filed under: Chilotomina oberthuri
Lineage: Eukaryota; Metazoa; Arthropoda; Insecta; Coleoptera; Chrysomelidae
Description: tRNA-Arg
Source: RNAcentral
AGAUAAGAAGCAAAUCUUGCAUUUAGUUUCGACCUAAAAAUUUGGUUGUAAAUUCAACCCCUAUCUG